GACGAACGCUGGCGGCGUGCUUAACACAUGCAAGUCGAACGGAAAGGCCUUUUCGGAGGUACGCGAGUGGCGAACGGGUGAGUAACACGUGGGUGAUCUGCCCUGCACUCUGGGAUAAGCCUGGGAAACUGGGUCUAAUACCGGAUAGGACCGCACUUUAGUGUGUGUGGUGGAAAGUUUUUUCGGUGUAGGAUGAGCCCGCGGCCUAUCAGCUUGUUGGUGGGGUAAUGGCCUACCAAGGCGGCGACGGGUAGCCGGACUGAGAGGUUGGUCGGCCACAUUGGGACUGAGAUACGGCCCAGACUCCUACGGGAGGCAGCAGUGGGGAAUAUUGCACAAUGGGCGCAAGCCUGAUGCAGCGACGCCGCGUGGGGGAUGACGGCCUUCGGGUUGUAAACUCCUUUCGCCAGGGACGAAGCGUUUUGUGACGGUACCUGGAGAAGAAGCACCGGCUAACUACGUG
This 463-nucleotide ribosomal RNA is filed under the name uncultured bacterium. Its description in RNAcentral is "partial 16S ribosomal RNA". It matches the Rfam family "Bacterial small subunit ribosomal RNA", at positions 28 to 507 of the family's 1533-position model. The record is from RNAcentral.